UAUACUCAGCUUGUACAUAAGUUUGAUAAUAAUUUUAUUAAGACUUCAAGUACCUCAGCUACGUGUAUCUCUGCCAGUUUUAUUUCAUUAUUACAUGUUCUUUUUUUUUUAAUUUCUUAGACCUUUUAGUGUGUGUAAGUGAAAAGAACACGUAUAUGUAGUACUUACAUGAAGAUUAGUAGAAUAAUAGUGAAUGAUGUGGUGUGCAAUUAAUAGAUUAGGCUCGUCGACCUCCAUGACAAUGUUGUCAAUUAAGUCGAGCAAUAUAA
Long non-coding RNA from Planococcus citri (citrus mealybug), 269 nucleotides. RefSeq lists it as uncharacterized. The record is from RefSeq and is a predicted model, not a curated record. NCBI's taxonomy places the organism in Eukaryota, Metazoa, Arthropoda, Insecta, Hemiptera, Pseudococcidae. The transcript is spliced from 2 exons.